UCUGGAGGCCCCUUCCAGCCCCUGCAGUUCUGUGAUUCUGUGACAUUGGAGGGCCACGUUAUACAGUUCCUCACCCAUAGAUUUGAGUUCAGGUCUUAAACUGCAGAUUUCUGCCACGUGAAAUAAGUCUGGUGCAGCAUCCAAGGGCUGGAAGUGGUGCAGGGCUCUGUGCAAGGCAUGCAGCAAUGGGAAGAGCACAAAGUGCUGUUCUCUGUGCACAGCCCUGCAGCCCUUCCAGCCAUGCUGCAUAACCCAGUGUGGGGCUGUAGCCUGGCAAAGGCUCAGCCCAGUGAGAUCUGCUCCCAGCACAUUGCCCCGGGUUAAAAUUCCUGCUCUGAUGUGUCCGAGGUCAUCAAUUUAUCUUUCCCAAAUCUAGAGCAUGCCACCUGGUUUUGUAUCCUUCUCUUUAAAGAUGGGACCCGUAAGAGAUCUUGCAGCAACGUCAGAAGAACUGUUGGUUUCCUUCAUAACCUUUGCAUUGAGGAAAGGUUUCCUCUGUUACCUCCAUCAGUGUGACAGCCACUGUGUCACCGGGCAGUGCUUUGGUUUGCACCUCAAGGGUGCGAGGACUUCAAGUAUGAGGUUCUCAUGGGUGCUGCUGCAGCCCCUUUGGCACUGAAUUCAGUGCAGCUCAGGAUUGUGGGCUGUUGGGAUUCUUUGUCAUUAGGGCUCAUUUUCACAGCCCAUCACUGCUCGUUUCACAGUCCUGAAUCACAGAGCCAUGAAAUCUCAGAGGAUUGGCCCUGAGUGUGCGCUGUAAUGAUGUACACUGCAGCAGAGCUGUGUGAGCAUCAGCAGAAGUUUGGAACCUGUGCUUCGUUUCUGAAGGUUACGGUGGAGCACAGCACAGUUCAGCAAUAAGGAAGCAAAACUCUUAAGUUAUAACUCUUAGAAGUCAUAUUUUGCUCGAGAGAAGAGGUAAGAAAGGUGACGUUGGUUGGGCAUAGAGCCUGCCAGCUGUGCUUGAAAAAGCUUCCUUUGACCCACAGUUAUUUUGGUUUUUACCCUCAGUUUGGUGUAUUGAAGAUCUUAGCUGCUGGCGUUUCCCUGCUAAGGUUAAUGAGAAAUGAUUAAUGAGAAAUAGGCUGAGGUUUCUGAAACGAAUGUUCUGUCAGUGGGAUGUGCUGUGCCCAACACCGCAGCCCUGGCUGUUCCAAUGGAGGUUUUAUAGUUAAAAAUGUAUUUAUCAGUGUUGGCAGCCAAAAAAACCUCUGAAGUGUCUCUCUUGGUUUUAUCUUAGCUUCUCCCAUUGAAGUGUCAGUGUGUUUACCUGACAGAAGUGGGUGUCCAAAUGCCAACAAGCAGAUGCGGCCCUCAUCAGCUGCGUGUGUUGGUUUCAGGUCUCAGACUAUGUUACAAAGAGCUGAGUUUUGGGACACCCGUGGGGUACACAGGCAUUGAGCUGACAGUGUGCACAGCAAGCACAACAACCAGAGGGAGAAAGAUAGGAAAGGUGAAGGUUGAAGGCUACACCAACUCCAUUGGGAUGGAUGCGGAGUGGACGUUUCUUUUAUGUCUUUGUAUUUGGGAUGAUGAGUUGGUGGCUUUCCAUGGAAAUGGUUGAUCUCUCGGUGUAAAGCUCAGCUUGGGGAUGGGUGGUAAUGAGGGAGAGCAUCCCAUGCUCCAGGAGGGACAGCGGUGGGAUGUGCACCACCAGCACGAGGCCACAGAGCCACACCAUUGUGCCCAGGGACAGAAAUGAGCAGAGAGCUUGGCCUUGGCUUGGUAUUUACCAUUGGACUAAGUGAAAGCGAUGGUUUUGAUGAGACUUAGGAGAUAAAUAUCUCCAAGUCCAUCUACGCGCACACUCAGGAGAGUUGGAGUGAAGUUGAUUGUUGGGUUGAAUGGUGAGUUAUGUGUUAAUAUAUCAGCAGGGCUGCUCUUGGGAACCGGGCAGUGCAAGGGGGUGCGGAUGGGUUGCACAGAAAGCGUCCCAAAACCAGCGCAAAUCAAACCAUUGGGUUCAGGUUCUGAGCUGCACUCACCCAGAGGAGCAGUUGUUGGUGUGAGGAGGGGGGGAGUUCUGUCUGUGUGGCAUCUCAUGGUCAGACAGCCUUUGUAAAUCACAGUUCGUAAGGCGAUAUGUUUCUGAGAGCGCCGUCUGGAAAGGUUGUGGCUGUGAUGCCAAUUCAGAGGUAGGGGCAGCGCUGCUAAUGGAUCGCCCUUAAUUGUUUCUGGGGUGGUGUACUCUUAACGCAGCGUUGCACAUCAUUUUUAACACUCUCUGUAAUUACAAAUGGCUUCUAUCAGUGUGAGCCCCGAUGCUCUGGC
RNAcentral lists this long non-coding RNA (2271 nucleotides) under Gallus gallus (chicken). The record is from RNAcentral. Lineage: Eukaryota; Metazoa; Chordata; Aves; Galliformes; Phasianidae.